UGGGGGCGUUACCGGAUACUGGGCGUAAGCGUGCGCAGGCGGAUUGUUAAGCAAGACGUGAAAUCCCCGGGCUUAACCUGGGAAUGGCGUUUUGAACUGGCAGUCUAGAGUGUGUCAGAGGGGGGUGGAAUUCCACGUGUAGCAGUGAAAUGCGUAGAGAUGUGGAGGAACACCAAUGGCGAAGGCAGCCCCCUGGGAUAACACUGACGCUCAUGUACGAAAGCGUGGGUAGCAAACAGGAUUAGAUACCCUGGUAGUCCACGCCCUAAACGAUGUCAACUGGUUGUUGGGGGAGUGAAAUCCCUUAGUAACGAAGCUAACGCGUGAAGUUGACCGCCUGGGGAGUACGGUCGCAAGAUUAAAACUCAAAGGAAUUGACGGGGACCCGCACAAGCGGUGGAUGAUGUGGAUUAAUUCGAUGCAACGCGAAAAACCUUACCUACACUUGACAUGUCCGGAAUCCUGCAGAGAUGCGGGAGUGCCCGAAAGGGAAUCGGAACACAGGUGCUGCAUGGCUGUCGUCAGCUCGUGUCGUGAGAUGUUGGGUUAAGUCCCGCAACGAGCGCAACCCUUAUCAUUAGUUGCUACGCAAGGGCACUCUAAUGAGACUGCCGGUGACAAACCGGAGGAAGGUGGGGAUGACGUCAAGUCCUCAUGGCCCUUAUGGGUAGGGCUUCACACGUCAUACAAUGGUCGGUACAGAGGGUUGCCAAGCCGCGAGGUGGAGCCAAUCCCAGAAAGCCGAUCGUAGUCCGGAUUGUUCUCUGCAACUCGAGAGCAUGAAGUCGGAAUCGCUAGUAAUCGCGGAUCAGCAUGUCGCGGUGAAUACGUUCCCGGGUCUUGUACACACCGCCCGUCACACCAUGGGAGUGGAAUCUGCCAGAAGUAGUAGCCUAACCGCAAGGAGGGCGCUUACCACGGUGGGUUUCAUGACUGGGGUGAAGUCGUAACAAGGUAACCA
RNAcentral lists this ribosomal RNA (961 nucleotides) under uncultured bacterium. RNAcentral's name for it is "bacterial SSU rRNA". It matches the Rfam family "Bacterial small subunit ribosomal RNA", at positions 533 to 1502 of the family's 1533-position model. The record is from RNAcentral.